This 2252-nucleotide ribosomal RNA is filed under the name human gut metagenome. RNAcentral describes it as "bacterial LSU rRNA". It matches the Rfam family "Bacterial large subunit ribosomal RNA", at positions 14 to 2285 of the family's 2925-position model. The record is from RNAcentral.
AGGGCAUACGGCGGAUGCCUAGGCGCCAUCAGCCGAUGAAGGACGCGGUAAGCUGCGAAAAGCUACGGGGAACUGCAAGCAAGUAUUGAUCCGUAGAUGUCCGAAUGGGGAAACCCACCUGCCGUCAUGGGCAGGUAUCCGAAAGGAAGGGAACCCGGGGAACUGAAACAUCUAAGUACCCGGAGGAAGAGAAAUCAAACGAGAUGCCCACAGUAGCGGCGAGCGAAGAGGGCAGAGGGCAAACCGGGGAGCUACGGCUCUCCGGGGUUGAGGACUGCAUUUAGUCUCAAAGGUUUAUCCGAACUACCUGGAAAGGUAGGCAACACAGUGUAAAAGCCACGUAGGUUAAAGACCAGAGAGAUGAGCAGUAUCCAGAGUACCACGAGGCACGAGGAAUCUUGUGGGAAGCCGGGGGGACCACCCUCCAACCCUAAACACUGAAUGGCGACCGAUAGCGCAUAGUACCGUGAGGGAAAGGUGAAAAGAACCCCGGGAGGGGAGUGAAAGAGAACCUGAAACCGUAUGUCUACAAGCAGUCGGAGCGAAAGCGACGGCGUGCCUAUUGAAGAAUGAACCAACGAGUUACGUGCACUAGCGAGGUUAAGUGGAAGACACGGAGCCGAAGCGAAAGCGAGUCUUAAGAGGGCGGAUAGUUAGUGUACGUAGACCCGAAACCGCAGUGAUCUACCCAUGUCCAGGUUGAAGCGCAGGUAAAAUUGCGUGGAGGACCGAACCUGUGAGCGUUGAAAAGCUUUAGGAUGAGAUGUGGGUAGAGGUGAAAUUCCAAUCGAACGCGGAGAUAGCUGGUUCUCCCCGAAAUAGCUUUAGGGCUAGCCUCAAGUAGUAAGUAUAGGCGGUAGAGCACUGAUCGGGCUAGGGGCCAUAAAGGUUACCGAACCCUGUCAAACUCCGAAUGGUUAUACUGUAGAGCUUGGGAGUCAGACUACGAGUGAUAAGAUCCGUGGUCAAAAGGGAAACAGCCCAGACCACCAGCUAAGGUCCCUAAUGUCGUACUAAGUGGAAAAGGAUGUGGGGUCUCUAAAACAACCAGGAUGUUGGCUUAGAAGCAGCCACCAUUUAAAGAGUGCGUAAUAGCUCACUGGUCGAGAGACCCUGCGCCGAAGAUUACCGGGGCUAAAGUACGAAACCGAAGCUGUGGCUACGACGUAAGUCGUGGGGUAGGGGAGCGUUCUGUGAGGGCUGAAGUCGUUCUGUAAGGGACGGUGGACUUCACAGAAGUGAGAAUGUUGGUAUGAGUAGCGAAAAGAAUGGUGAGAAUCCAUUCCACCGAAAGCAUAAGGAUUCCUGGGCAACGAUCGUCGUCCCAGGGUAAGUCGGGACCUAAUCCGAGGCAUGGAGCGUAGGAGAUGGACAACUGGCAGAUAUUCCAGUACCGGUAAUGAUUGUUUGAGCGAUGGAGUGACACAGGAGGGCAGGCAGGCAGGAGAUUGGUUGUUCCUGUACAAGCGUGUAGGGUGGAACGUAGGCAAAUCCGCGUUCUGAGAGCCUGAGGCGUGAUGUGGAGGUUCCGGAAACGGAGCUGAAGCUGCUGACCCCACACUGUCGAGAAAAGCUUCUAGUUAGAGAAUUACCGCCCGUACCGUAAACCGACACAGGUAUGCGGGGAGAGAAUCCUAAGGUGCGCGGGAGAACCCUCGUUAAGGAACUCGGCAAAAUGUACCCGUAACUUCGGGAUAAGGGUAGCCGCUGUUGUGAAGUCUGAACAGACGGAGCAUGAGGCGGUCGCAGAGAAGAGGCCCAAGCGACUGUUUACCACAAACACAGGUGCCUGCUAAAGAGAAAUCUGACGUAUAGGUGCUGACACCUGCCCAGUGCCGGAAGGUUAAGGAAGGAUGUCCGGAGCAAUCCAAAGCAUUCGACCGAAGCCCCGGUGAACGGCGGCCGUAACUAUAACGGUCCUAAGGUAGCGAAAUUCCUUGUCGGGUAAGUUCCGACCCGCACGAAAGGUGUAACGAUUUGGGCACUGUCUCAACGAGGGACCCGGUGAAAUUGAAGUACCUGUGAAGAUGCAGGUUACCCGCGACUGGACAGAAAGACCCCAUGGAGCUUUACUGUAACCUGACAUUGGGUUCUGAUACAUCACGUACAGGAUAGGUGGGAGGCAUGGAAGCGAGGACGCUAGUCUUCGUGGAGCCGCCGUUGGGAUACCACCCUUGAUGUAUCGGAAUUCUAACCGUAGGAGUAACGAAACUCGGGACAGUGUCAGGCGGGCAGUUUGACUGGGGCGGUCG